GUGCCAGCAGCCGCGGUAAUACGUAGGGUGCAAGCGUUGUCCGGAUUUACUGGGCGUAAAGGGCGCGCAGGCGGCCUGAUAAGUCACUCGUGAAAUUUCCCGGCUAAACUGGGAAGGGUCGAGUGAUACUGUCAAGCUAGAGAGCAGCAGAGGAUAGUAGAAUUCCCGGUGUAGUGGUGAAAUGCGUAGAUAUCGGGAGGAAUACCAGUGGCGAAAGCGGCUAUCUGGGCUGUGUCUGACGCUGAGGCGCGAAGGCUAGGGGAGCAAACAGGAUUAGAUACCCUUGUAGUCC
Molecule: ribosomal RNA, 292 nt
Filed under: uncultured bacterium
Lineage: Bacteria
Description: partial 16S ribosomal RNA
Rfam family: Bacterial small subunit ribosomal RNA
Source: RNAcentral